CUACGGGCUGCACCAGUAGGGAAUCUUGCGCAAUGGACGAAAGUCUGACGCAGCAACUCCGCGUGAGGGAAGACGGGCUUCGGUUUGUAAACCUCUUUUAUUUGGGAAGAAAAAGCUUAUGGCGACAUAGGACUUGACGGUACCAUUUGAAUAAGCUCCGGCUAAAUACGUGCCAGCAGCCGCGGUAAUACGUAUGGAGCGAGCGUUACUCGGAAUCACUGGGCGUAAAGAGUUCGUAGGCGGACUUGCAAGUCAGAAGUGAAAUUUUGGGGCUUAACCCCGAAACUGCUUUUGAAACUGCUUGUCUUGAGUAUGUGAGAGGAAGAUGGAAUUCCUGGUGUAGCGGUGGAAUGCGUAGAUAUCAGGAAGAACACCGGUGGCGAAGGCGGUCUUCUGGCACAAUACUGACGCUGAGGAACGAAAGCGUGGGGAGCGAACAGGAUUAGAUACCCCGGUAGUC
This 460-nucleotide ribosomal RNA is filed under the name uncultured bacterium. RNAcentral describes it as "partial 16S ribosomal RNA". It matches the Rfam family "Bacterial small subunit ribosomal RNA", at positions 339 to 795 of the family's 1533-position model. The record is from RNAcentral.